This 405-nucleotide ribosomal RNA is filed under the name Sporobolomyces cf. roseus CBS 10227. RNAcentral's name for it is "eukaryotic LSU rRNA". It matches the Rfam family "Eukaryotic large subunit ribosomal RNA", at positions 226 to 648 of the family's 3401-position model. The record is from RNAcentral. Lineage: Eukaryota; Fungi; Basidiomycota; Microbotryomycetes; Sporidiobolales; Sporidiobolaceae.
AUGCGGAUGCCUAUUACUUUGUGAUACACUUUCGAAGAGUCGAGUUGUUUGGGAAUGCAGCUCAAAUUGGGUGGUAAAUUCCAUCUAAAGCUAAAUAUUGGCGAGAGACCGAUAGCGAACAAGUACCGUGAGGGAAAGAUGAAAAGCACUUUGGAAAGAGAGUUAACAGUACGUGAAAUUGUUGGAAGGGAAACACAUGCAGCCAGACUUGCUAUUCGGGGCAACUCGAUUGGCAGGCCCGCAUCAGUUUUUCGGGGCGGAAAAGCAUAGAGAGAAGGUAGCAAUUUCGGUUGUGUUAUAGCUCUUUAUUGGAUUCGCCCUGGGGGACUGAGGAACGCAGCGUGCUUUUAGCAUAAGCUUCGGCUUAUCCACGCUUAGGAUGCGGGUGUAAUGGCUGUAUAUGAC